GACGAACGCUGGCGGCGUGCCUAAUACAUGCAAGUAGAACGCUGAAGAGAGGAGCUUGCUCUUCUUGGAUGAGUUGCGAACGGGUGAGUAACGCGUAGGUAACCUGCCUGGUAGCGGGGGAUAACUAUUGGAAACGAUAGCUAAUACCGCAUAAAAUUGAUUAUUGCAUGAUAAUUAAUUGAAAGAUGCAACUGCAUCACUACCAGAUGGACCUGCGUUGUAUUAGCUAGUUGGUGAGGUAACGGCUCACCAAGGCGACGAUACAUAGCCGACCUGAGAGGGUGAUCGGCCACACUGGGACUGAGACGCGGCCCAGACUCCUACGGGAGGCAGCAGUAGGGAAUCUUCGGCAAUGGGGGGAACCCUGACCGAGCAACGCCGCGUGAGUGAAGAAGGUUUUCGGAUCGUAAAGCUCUGUUGUAAGAGAAGAACGGGUGUGAGAGUGGAAAGUUCACACUGUGACGGUAUCUUACCAGAAAGGGACGGCUAACUACGUG
This 497-nucleotide ribosomal RNA is filed under the name uncultured bacterium. Its description in RNAcentral is "partial 16S ribosomal RNA". It matches the Rfam family "Bacterial small subunit ribosomal RNA", at positions 28 to 507 of the family's 1533-position model. The record is from RNAcentral.